This 582-nucleotide ribosomal RNA is filed under the name Sphingobacterium sp. RNAcentral's name for it is "bacterial SSU rRNA". It matches the Rfam family "Bacterial small subunit ribosomal RNA", at positions 64 to 642 of the family's 1533-position model. The record is from RNAcentral. Lineage: Bacteria; Pseudomonadati; Bacteroidota; Sphingobacteriia; Sphingobacteriales; Sphingobacteriaceae.
GGAUCCAUCGGUAGCUUGCUACCGAUGGUGAGAGUGGCGCACGGGUGCGUAACGCGUGAGCAACCUGCCCAUAUCAGGGGGAUAGCCCGGAGAAAUCCGGAUUAACACCGCAUGCAACCGGAGGAUGGCAUCAUCUUCCGGUUAAAUAUUCAUAGGAUAUGGAUGGGCUCGCGUGACAUUAGCUAGUUGGUGGGGUAACGGCCCACCAAGGCGACGAUGUCUAGGGGCUCUGAGAGGAGAAUCCCCCACACUGGUACUGAGACACGGACCAGACUCCUACGGGAGGCAGCAGUAAGGAAUAUUGGUCAAUGGGGGCAACCCUGAACCAGCCAUGCCGCGUGCAGGACGACUGCCCUAUGGGUUGUAAACUGCUUUUGUUAGGGAAUAAACCCCACUACGUGUAGUGGGCUGAAUGUACCUAAAGAAUAAGGAUCGGCUAACUCCGUGCCAGCAGCCGCGGUAAUACGGAGGAUCCGAGCGUUAUCCGGAUUUAUUGGGUUUAAAGGGUGCGUAGGCGGCACUUUAAGUCAGGGGUGAAAGACGGCAGCUCAACUGUCGCAGUGCCCUUGAUACUGAAGUGCU